AGGACUGAUUACACAUAAAUGUUUAGCGGACAGUAAACAUUUGUGAGUAAUCUGUUCUUACACACAAAAAGAAGGUCUAUAGCUUUAGGAAAGGGAAAAUUAUCAAGGUUAUUCAGACAAUAUAAAAUGAGUUGAGAAAAUUGAAGGGAAUGUUUAUACUUGAAUGAGACCUCAUGGAGAAAGACAAAAUAAGGAAGCCAUGGGAGAAUAUUUGCAUUCUCGGAACCACAAAAGUGAGGAAAGCCAAGAGCACAGCUGGAGUUGCACCAGAUCAAGUAGACAUUCCAUCAGAGCCUGAACUGAGAAUGCACCAUUCCUAGUCACCUUGAUAACAGCCCCAUUUUCUGUUAAUAAUACUCUAUGAGAAAAAUCUUGCAAAAAUAGUCAGAAAAGGCAGAGUCACAUGCGGUUCAGUGUGUUCCACCUUGGCAGACGGUCUUAGGAGGAGUUUUGGAAGGAUCGUGCUGCAGGCAAUGGAUGAGAUAAUGAUGAGAAAUUUUCCAGCUCUGUAUAAAAAGGCAAGCGAAAUAUAUGCUUGUGAAUUUUUGGCUGCUUUUUUAUGCUGUAUUUUCAGAUCAAUUUUAUCCCAGUUAAUGUGAAUAUAAACUCUGAUUGUUAUGGUUAUCUCUCGUGGGGUGUCUAUUAUUUUGUCAGAAAUUGUAUCAGGAACUUUAUAUCAAUCACUAAAUUACACAUUUCCAAGCUGCAUAUGAAUUAGGUAUUACUAUGAUCAUUUUACAGAUGAAGAAGAUGAGACUCAGAGCAAUACAUAAGUUGCCCAAGGUCAGAGAGCAAUGACCAUAUCAGAGCACAGUGUACUCCUCUUGCCGUAUUCAGAGGAUUUGCCUAUGGGCAGCAACAUUAUUCUCUCGUUCUCUGGAUAUUAGGAACAAUAUCACAGGACCGGCGGACAGCCCCAGUCAUAUCUGACCAUACCACAGCACGGUGUACUCCUCUUGCCGUAUUCAGAGGAUUUGCCUAUGGGCAGAAACAUUCCCCUCUCCUUCUCUGGAUAUUAGAAACAUUAUCACAGGACCG
This is a non-coding RNA of Callithrix jacchus (white-tufted-ear marmoset), 1038 nucleotides long. The record is from RefSeq and is a predicted model, not a curated record. NCBI's taxonomy places the organism in Eukaryota, Metazoa, Chordata, Mammalia, Primates, Cebidae.